Molecule: long non-coding RNA, 657 nt
Organism: Bombus pyrosoma
Lineage: Eukaryota; Metazoa; Arthropoda; Insecta; Hymenoptera; Apidae
Exons: 2
Source: RefSeq, a predicted model, not a curated record
CGAUGCGCAUAGUGUUAAUGGAACGUAGCAGACGUACAGAGGUCCAUUAGUUCACAAUGAGUUUGUGGAAUUUUUAUACUAAUGCAUGUAUCUAUUGCGUGUAUAUUCCUAAUUGGUAAUUGACACAUGCGACCUUAAUGCGACUCGCAGCUGUUAGUGUUUCAAUAAAGCUUGUUAACUUCCUAAACGUUGCACUUUCUGAACACAGCAUCGGCGCAAACUGCUCGUUUCUCUAUGUUUUCCUUCGAUAAAUAAGCGAAUUAAUUUUGCUACACUAUUCACAUUUUUUCGAUAGAAACAUUUGUGAGACAUUUAUUUAUCAUAAUUACAUGUUUACUAAUGUAUUUAGCAGCAAUUAUGGAAUAUCAAAUGUUCGAAUUUGGCGCCGUUUGCAUUAGUAUCACCUGAUGAGUCACAGAUGUCAGAGUCAUACGGAAAUCAAUUUCAAUUCGAGAAAGUGAACUGUGUACCAUGUUACCGGGUAAUAUAAAUAGUCAGGGAUCAGUAAAUCAUGGGAGAACAAAGCGAAAGGCACUAAAGGAUUUAAUGAAACACCAUUCCAGGAAUACGAACAAUAAUUACGUAUCACGGAUAUAGGCUUGCGUAAACACUACACCUUAUUGUUCAUACGAUCGAAAUAUUAAAAAAAAAGCUAGA